RNAcentral lists this long non-coding RNA (1089 nucleotides) under Eptatretus burgeri (inshore hagfish). RNAcentral describes it as "lncRNA (ENSEBUG00000017372.1)". Lineage: Eukaryota; Metazoa; Chordata; Myxini; Myxiniformes; Myxinidae. The record is from RNAcentral.
CCAAUCUUGAUUGAGUGACCCAACUUGUUUUAUAUGCUAGGGGUGACAUCUGCUGCAGGUCUCUGAUUCAACAACGGGGUUUUUUUUUCUGACUACUCAGUUCGGCACCGUGACCGGUGUAAGUAUGAUGGCGUGAUGAAUGAAGAUUAACAUGUGUUCUUGUGGGCUUCGUGUAAGGAAAAGUAGUGGGGCGUCUUGCGGUGGACAUGGAAUACAGGAAACAGAUGUGGUGGAGAAAACACACAAAUGCUGGACGACGUCACAAUAGAAAUGUUAUUCUAACCAGACAACUUCAGUGUUACUUAUGGACGGCUGACUGAUGGAGGAGAUUACUGCAAGCCAGAGAGCUUUGUGCGACAUAUAAACCGCUGUCAUGGAGCUUGAAUGAUACUGUGGAGAAGACCACAGUGGGAAGGUAAAAGACCGAUUAUUGUGAAAGAUAUUAUGGAAUGUGGGAGACACCAUGCAACAUCCCUCUCCUGAAACUCAUUCCCAGGACCAGACAAUUGACAGGUCUCACAUCCAUAUCAAUAUGAGAUGCUGAUAAGAAAUGUACUCCUCUACCCACAUCAUCUCUGCAUGUACACGACCAAGCACCACUGAACACAAGGUGCGGGAGGAGUCUGUGGAGUGCCUGUCAUCACAUGUGCUGUUCGUACUGCAGGACUAGUGUGCAGCCAGAUACCGUCGCAGGACAGGACAGUGCGACGGCCAUGACCUCCAAAAAGGAGUGUCCAACAGUCCUGUGGAUUUGUGAAGAUUUUCAAGGCAAUCCAAAAAUGACUUUCAAUUCUGCUGUGAAGAGUAAAGACCAAAUGCUGCUUUCAACUGGAUUUGAACCCACAAGCUGAAUCUAGAAUCCCAUUCCUGUGUCCUUACAAUACAAUAGGCCACUGCUGUUAUGUGCAGUUACACACGCCUUGGGGACAUUUAAUCAACAGCUGCACGAGGUAUUUGUGCCAUUUGAUCGGGUAUAUAAUAAAAUGACUCGAAUAUGCAUUUUUACUUUGAGCUCAGUUUUCUGGAUUUGCAGCAGUUAGUCUUUGCAUUAACUAAAUUCGGUUAAUUGUGACUGCAGUACACCCCCCC